GCGCUUGUAGCUCAGUGGGGUAGGGCGCUGGCCCCAUAUGCCAGAGGUGGCGGGUUCAAACCCAGCCCUGGCCA
Molecule: transfer RNA, 74 nt
Filed under: Otolemur garnettii (small-eared galago)
Lineage: Eukaryota; Metazoa; Chordata; Mammalia; Primates; Galagidae
Rfam family: tRNA
About the family: Transfer RNA (tRNA) molecules are approximately 80 nucleotides in length.
Source: Rfam by way of RNAcentral